GCACGCCGCAGUGAAAAAAAAGAAAUAUUAUUUUUUUCAUAAGAAGACUACAAGACUCGACGCGAAUGUUUUUUGGAAACGUUUUUUAAUUUUUUUAAAAUCAUGUCUGGAUGUUAAGGGGAUUUCGUUUGUCGCAAAAGCCCUAAUGAGAACUCCAUUCGUCUGAAACAGUCACUGAAAGAGGACUUGAGGACUUCAUCUUAAGCGAGACGGCCCUCCAGAAACCAAACACAUUAGGCUCCUUCUGACGACAGCUCCGGACCUGCCAUAAACCAGCCAGGCAGAUCAUUUCCAUGGAAACCAUAAUAAAUGC
Long non-coding RNA from Conger conger (European conger), 313 nucleotides. RefSeq lists it as uncharacterized. The record is from RefSeq and is a predicted model, not a curated record. The transcript has 3 exons. Lineage: Eukaryota; Metazoa; Chordata; Actinopteri; Anguilliformes; Congridae.